RNAcentral lists this ribosomal RNA (116 nucleotides) under Klebsiella ornithinolytica. Lineage: Bacteria; Pseudomonadati; Pseudomonadota; Gammaproteobacteria; Enterobacterales; Enterobacteriaceae. RNAcentral also lists the same sequence under 1 other name. The record is from RNAcentral.
CCUGGCGGCGAUAGCGCGGUGGUCCCACCUGACCCCAUGCCGAACUCAGAAGUGAAACGCCGUAGCGCCGAUGGUAGUGUGGGGUCUCCCCAUGUUAGAGUAGGGAACUGCCAGGC